Long non-coding RNA from Sander lucioperca (pikeperch), 446 nucleotides. RefSeq lists it as uncharacterized. The record is from RefSeq and is a predicted model, not a curated record. The transcript has 2 exons. Lineage: Eukaryota; Metazoa; Chordata; Actinopteri; Perciformes; Percidae.
GUAAAAUAGAGAGAGUAUUAGAAAGGGGGGUUCCUUCCCUCCACUCAUUUACUAACACACAUCACCAUAGCACACAUCAUGUGGACACACACAGAUACAAUAUGUAUAGCAAAACCACUAGAUCUUUCACAUAACAAUUUGAAAUAUUCCUCUAACAUUACCUAAACAUCUUCCCUUGUUUGCUCCUUCCUCGGCCUCAUCACCAGAGCUGCCAUUCAAAUUGUCACUGCUGCUGUUGUCAUCCUCACACUGUUCCUCUGUAGGCCUAUACAGCUCAUCUUCCUCGACUUCCUCACUGGUUCCCUCCUCUGAAUCUGAUGAACCAUCAGGUGGCAAAACUACAGACUUCACCUCUCUCUUUAUUGUACUGUAGAAACUGCUGACAGAAAUUCCCUGAAAACGUGUACACUGGUGAAUUCAUCAAUAAUAUACAUUUGAGAGUAAAA